RNAcentral lists this ribosomal RNA (398 nucleotides) under uncultured bacterium. RNAcentral describes it as "bacterial SSU rRNA". It matches the Rfam family "Bacterial small subunit ribosomal RNA", at positions 362 to 774 of the family's 1533-position model. The record is from RNAcentral.
UAUUGGACAAUGGGGGGAACCCUGAUCCAGCGACGCCGCGUGAGUGAAGAAGUAUCUCGGUAGGUAAAGCUCUAUCAGCAGGGAAGAAAGAAAUGACGGUACCUGACCAAGAAGCCCCGGCUAACUACGUGCCAGCAGCCGCGGUAAUACGUAGGGGGCAAGCGUUAUCCGGAUGUACUGGGUGUAAAGGGAGCGUAGACGGUGCAGCAAGUCUGAUGUGAAAGGUCGGGGCCCAACCCCGGGACUGCAUUGGAAACUGUUGAACUGGAGUACAGGAGAGGUAAGCGGAAUUCCUAGUGUAGCGGUGAAAUGCGUAGAUAUUAGGAGGAACACCAGUGGCGAAGGCGGCUUACUGGACUGUAACUGACGUUGAGGCUCGAAAGCGUGGGGAGCAAACA